UUAGUAGCGGCGAGUGAAGCGGCAAAAGCUCAAAUUUGAAAUCUGGCACUUUCAGUGUCCGAGUUGUAAUUUGAAGAAGGUAUCUUUGGGUCUGGCUCUUGUCUAUGUUUCUUGGAACAGAACGUCACAGAGGGUGAGAAUCCCGUGCGAUGAGAUGUCCCAGACCUAUGUAAAGUUCCUUCGAAGAGUCGAGUUGUUUGGGAAUGCAGCUCUAAGUGGGUGGUAAAUUCCAUCUAAAGCUAAAUAUUGGCGAGAGACCGAUAGCGAACAAGUACAGUGAUGGAAAGAUGAAAAGAACUUUGAAAAGAGAGUGAAAAAGUACGUGAAAUUGUUGAAAGGGAAGGGCUUGAGAUCAGACUUGGUAUUUUGUAUGUUACUCUCUCGGGGGUGGCCUCUACAGUUUACCGGGCCAGCAUCAGUUUGAGCGGUAGGAUAAGUGCAAAGAAAUGUGGCGCUGCUUCGGUAGUGUGUUAUAGUCUUUGUCGAUACUGCC
This 493-nucleotide ribosomal RNA is filed under the name Lodderomyces parapsilosis. Its description in RNAcentral is "Candida parapsilosis partial large subunit ribosomal RNA". It matches the Rfam family "Eukaryotic large subunit ribosomal RNA", at positions 80 to 579 of the family's 3401-position model. The record is from RNAcentral. Lineage: Eukaryota; Fungi; Ascomycota; Pichiomycetes; Serinales; Debaryomycetaceae.